AACAAGUACUUUCUCUCUCCUCGCGAGUUACCCUCAGCUCUUCUCUCUCCUCCAUGUUUUCUCUCCUUCGUGAUUCUCUCUCCUCUCCGUCACCACCACUGCUGCAACCACCGCGCCGCCACUAUCUCUCACGCUGCCAUCUUCCACGUGUCGUCAAUUUGUGAGAUUUCUUUUAUUUUUAUUUUCUCCUCUCCUGCGAUUCAGUGAGCCAUCUUUCAUCCCCUAAUUUUGGAGAUCUAUUGCCCAGUUGCUUUGAUUGAUCUUCGAUUUUCCAGUACUAGGCACGAGCACAUGACAAUUCUAUACAUAAUGCAUGGAGCUAGAGACAUGAUUGAAUUUGAAACUCUGCAGAUAGUGCGUUAAAGGAUGUAACAUGCCUUUGAAACUUCCUCGAUGAUAAGGUACUUUUUUUUCUUUUUGAAAGCAACCUGAAGGUUUCUUAUGAUUAUAUUGACACUGAACACAGAAUACGUAACUAGCAUAGCUUAAAGACCCUAUCACCUGAUGCUACAGGGUUUGAGUUUUUUUUGUGGAGACCCAAUCUUCUGAAACAAAUGCAGAUAGUUUUCAUCAAUACCUUAUGUGGUUGGCAGUAAGACAUCUUUGACUGUAGUUUGCAGAAGGGAUUAUAUCUGGGUCGAUAUCUCUACACCUGAUCUACAUUAGGUGAAUGGGGUUGUCAGGGUUAUGCAUCACACUGAGUAAAAACCCCAGAGGUAAAUUCCAGCUAAAUCUACAUUAGCAGCUAUUCCCUUUGUCAACUAACAGCAUGUACAUUCGUUCAUGGCUCUCCAAAGUGUGCUCCUCUCUCUCUCCUACACGAUACCGCCAAGAUAUCUUCCAAAAAUUGUUGCUGAUUUUAUUUCAUCAAUUAGUAUCAAUCAAACACUAGUUGAUUGCCAAUUAAUUUCCUUCUUGGUCAGUCUUCUUGUUUAUAUUAGUCAGCCUUCCUGUCUAUCCCUCAGUUCAAAAAGGAAUGACAGGCUUCAGGGUUGCUGUUCAGUAGAUCAGUCCAAUAAUAAGGUAAGUCUGAAAUCCGUUUGCUACCAGUCUGUUGCUACAUUCCUAUUAUCCUCUGGUGUUGUUAUACGUAGGUACUGCAACUACUGAAUCAUUUUCUCCUACCUGCAUCUAUUGGAGAAGCAAGUUUCCAGGGUUGCUCAGGUCUACCGUGCUGCUGUUUUUGUCAACUUGGACUAGCGUUGACUUCUGGCCUUGUUGCUUCUUAUGCUGUUGAUGUUGGUAUGUUAUUGUUUUCAGAUUUGCACUAAUCUAGCUAGGUGGUGAGCGACCAUAUUACCAUCUCUUUUGACAUGAGACCAAAUAAUGCAAUCAAGCUUAGAGCUAAGGGCUAGAACAUCAUCAAGUAUACCAUCUAAAUCAUAAAAGAAAGUUUAAGCCUUCGUUAUUCUUGAAACGAGCACCUGACAAUCAGUUUUCAAGAUCACUUUGUUGUAGCCAUACCUUCGAGCCAGUUGGAUUGCAAAGAGGAUGGCCUUGCAUUCUGCAAUAACUGGAGGCCAGCGCCCUUGAAACCUUUGACAUCCCCAAACAGGACCUCGCCACUUGAGUCUCUCCCCACUACUCCAACCCCAAUCAACAACUAAAGAAGCAUCUAAACUUAACAAAACUUGAGGGAGGAGCCUGCCAUUUGUUUGAGCUUUUGCAACAGUGUGGACCUCUUGACAUUGCACCAUAAUUUUGGUUUGAUGUUUGUCAAAAUCACCUGACUGUCUCAAACUGCCAGCAUAUUGCAGCAUCAAAUGGAAGUGAAAAAUGUGUGCGUCUCCUGCUAGACUAUGGUGCUGAUCCAAAUUGUAGAGAUCAAGAAGGGAGCAUAACAUUAUGGGAUGCAAUGCAGGGUGGUCAUGGGGCGGUGGUGAAACAUCUAAAAAACUACGGUGCUAACAUUCGUGCAUGCGAUAUAGGUCUGUAUGCUUGUAUAGAACCCCGACCUCCUCAAACUAGUUGUCCGCGAGGGUGGCGAUGUAAUUCUCGCAGCAGCUACUGUUGUUUCAAUGUUCAACGGUAGCACAACCUUGCACGUGGCAGUUAGCGAAGGGAACUCCACGUGCUUUCCUCAAGAAUCGGUUUAUUUAGUGCAUAUAAAAAUUAAAACCUUUGUAGUUACAUACAAAAAAUGAAACAACUGAGCAAAUUUUAAAGUUCGGGUUUGUUAAUAUUGCU
Molecule: RNA transcript, 2187 nt
Organism: Spinacia oleracea (spinach)
Lineage: Eukaryota; Viridiplantae; Streptophyta; Magnoliopsida; Caryophyllales; Amaranthaceae
Gene name: potassium channel AKT1
Exons: 4
Source: RefSeq, a predicted model, not a curated record